This 562-nucleotide ribosomal RNA is filed under the name Triticum aestivum (bread wheat). RNAcentral's name for it is "partial small subunit ribosomal RNA". The record is from RNAcentral. Lineage: Eukaryota; Viridiplantae; Streptophyta; Magnoliopsida; Poales; Poaceae.
GGGCAAGACCGUGGUGGAUUCAGGGAAUAGUGGCGGCGGCGGCGCCAUGGUUGUACACCAGCGCGUCGUCCGCGACACCGGCGGGGCCUGGCCCAUGCUGAUGCGCACGAACUACGCGGACUGGGCCCUCCUGAUGCAAGUAAUGCUGGAGGCGCGCCAGCUCUGGGUUGCCGUCAACGACGGGACGGCGGAGCGAGAAACAGAUCGCACGGCAAUGGAGUGCCUGCUGCGAUCAGUGCCGCCGGAGAUGACGUCCACGCUCGCCGUCAAGCCCACGGCGAAGGACGCAUGGGGCACGAUCAAGACAAUGCGCCUGGGCGUGGCGCGCGUUCAUGAGGCCAAGGCGACGUCAGUACGCCGCCAGUACGAGGCGAUCAGGUUCAACGCCGCCGAGAGCAUCGACGACUUCGGUAUGCGCCUAUCUUCUCUGGUAACACAACUUGAGCUGCUUGGUGACAAGAUUGGCGAGCCCGCUGUCGUCCGCAAGUUCCUCUCAGUCGUUCCCAAGGCCUACUCGCAGAUGGCGUGUGCGAUCGAGACGCUGGUCGACCUCAAUACGCUG